RNAcentral lists this long non-coding RNA (2871 nucleotides) under Capsicum annuum. RNAcentral describes it as "long non-coding RNA (CANN_LNC004165)". The record is from RNAcentral. Lineage: Eukaryota; Viridiplantae; Streptophyta; Magnoliopsida; Solanales; Solanaceae.
AUGAGGUGCUCAGAAGCAUUAAUCUUGAUUUCAUAAAUUCAAUUUAGGAGUUGAAGAUGAGUCUAAGAUAUUUGCAUUCUACCCCUUCAUUUAUUUUGAUAAUGUUUCACAUUUAUAAAAUAUUUCUAUAUUUAUAUAGGACACAAGAGGUGCUGUAGAAACGACUGUCAAUACAUCAGCAGAAGAUGAAUCCAAGGUAUGCUUAAAAUAUGCAUUGUCUGCAUUUAUUUGUUUUGCUUUAAAUUUACUUUAACAAGAUUUUUAUAUUUUGUAUACAGAACACAAAUGAUCCUAGAGAAAUGGAUGAAAAUAAAUCAGCAAAAAAUCAAUUCAAGGCAUCAUUGCCUGCAUUUGGUUAUUUUGGUACUUUGCAACAUUAUAAUAUUUUUAUUCAUUUAACGCAUAAUAAAGAAUUUGAUGCUGAAAAGAUUAUAAACACAUCAGAAGAUUAUCAAGCAGAAAUGAAAGAAAAUAAAUCACCACAAGAUGCAUCAAAGGUAGAAUUCUCUGCUUUUAUUUCGUUUUCUAAUGUUGCAACAUUAUAACAUAUUUAUACAUUAUAUACAGGACAAAGAAUGUGAUGCUGAAAAGAUUUUAAAUCCAUUAGAACAUAAUGUGGAUAACUCAAAGUCGAAUCAGCAAAAUUAGUCUCUAGUCUACAUUCAUAAAGCAGUAACAGAAGAAAGAAAAGCUGAACAAAAUUUAUCAGACUCGCAAGUUACUAUUCCUGAUGAGCUUUUACCGAGUCUUAAUGCAUAUGUUAAUCAAGAAAGAAGUCUAAUAGUACAUCCAUUGGAAAAUGAAGCACAACAAAUGCCCAUGCAUAUUUCAAGGAUUAAACGAGAGUCACCAUUCACAAUGAAUUUUGGUUCAGCAUCUGGUUAGUACACUAACAUAUAUUAUAUGGUUAACAACUUUAUUUACUUUAUAUUAUUAUGACAUCUAAUAGCUAAGAAGUAUGACAUGUAAUCUGUAAAUAUUUCUUCUUAUUAUAUAAUGGCUAAGAAGUAUGACAUGUAAUCUGUAAAUAUGCACCAAUACAUUAGUGACACUUUUUUUAUAUGAUAAAAUUUAGAUUUGUAUUUGUUUUGAUUACUACUAAGAUUUGUUAUUGAUGUUAUGUUAUUUUUGUUAUUCAUUAGAUAUUGAUUAUGACAAGUAUGUUAUUUGGAAUAAUUCUGAACAAUUAAAAUACAUAAUUUUUUUGUUAGCUUGAAAUCAUUUUUAUAUUUUGUUGUUUGAUAACUUCAAUAUGUAUCAGUGAUGUAUUCACAAUAUACACAUGAUACAAUUAUGUAUACAUUUUUGUAUGGUAAUUUUCAGAUGUAUUUUAUAAAUACAUCUAUUUUAUUAUUAUGAAAUAUCAUUGCCUUUUUAAUUUAUUUUUGGUAUUUUUUUUUUUUUAUACUUUUCACAACUUAACAAUAAAUGAGGCACAAAAGAGGAGCGCAAAAUAUUCAAUCAAAAGCAUCCAUUCGUAUCUCAUUCGAUUAAUGAUAUAGAAGACACUAAGGUUACCAACAAGUUCCCGAAGUGUCUUUCUAUGUACCUUCUUAAAUUUCAUGCGAAGAGGUAUAUACGUUAGGACCUAAUUGUAAUAAUAUUUAAAUAUAAGUUUUUGUUAAUGAUGAGUCACUAUAUUUAAUGAUUGAACAGAAGCAACAAUGAAGAACACUAUAAGAAGGGCAAGUCCAAAAUACCAGUAAUCAAUUUUGGAGUUUUAUUUGUGAAAAACAAGAAUUGGUUCUACAUUAUGGGCACUCCGGGACAAUGAUGGUUUGAUGAGGUAAGUUUUGUACUAUUAAGUGAAAUUUUUUUAUAUUUGGAACGAAACUUAUUUCAACGUUACAUACGUAUAUUCGUAUAUACAUAUGUAAAUGCUUGUUAUGAUGUAGUUGCAUAUGUAUAUUUUUAUAUACAUAUACUGUUAUUCUAUAUGUUUUUAUAUAUGUAUAUGGUAUUACAUAUGUAGUGUUACCUGCAAUGAGUUUUAAUUUUAUUAUUUAAUUUUAAAUAUGAAUUUUAUUGUAAUGCAGCAAAUUGAUGUAUGCUUCUACUAUCUGCGAAAGAAACCUAAGUAUGAUCCAAAUAGUUCAUACAAGUACUACACUGUUGACUGCAAUUUCAUGAACAUUAUAAACAGUGUGCUAGAUGUGUAUAGAAUUGAUGAUGCAUCUCUUAAUGCUCGUGGAAAGGAAUACCAUCUGAAUGAGUACAUAAAUGAAUUCCGCAUGCAUGCUACAGUGUCUUGGCAUACGGUUGAUCAUAUUUUCAUUUCUGUCAACGUGAAGUCCAAACAUAAUUGGGUUCUUGCGGUUAUAUCUUUCAAUGAUAGAUGCAUUUAUGUAUAUGAUUCUUUGUCGUCUGCUGGUCAUGAUGCUUGCUGAAGUUGAAAAGUUAUCUGAGGUUAUACCUAUAUGUCUCGUUGUAUGUAAAUUUUAUGAGAAGAAGGGUAUUGAUAUUGCUAAUCAUCCAAAUUACAAAUCCUAUGAUAAGAUGGAUCUAUUUGAUGUUUAUAUUGUGGAGGAUUCGCCUCAACAACCAAGUGGCAGCUUGUAAGUAAUGAAUAUGUAUAUUAAUUGUAUAUAUACAUAUAUAUUAUUUUUAUAGAACAGAUUCUUACUUCUUUAAAUAUGUAUUUGUAGGAAUUGUGGUUUAUAUAUGGUGACAUAUGCCGAAUGUCUUAUUUUUGGUAAUCUUGUUCCACGCAUUGAUUUUGAUCCAGAUCUGAUUCGUACGAGAUAUGCUUCAAUUUUGUGGGAUUAUGUAUGAAGAAAGAAAAAGAGAAGGCAUAAAGUGAUGAUGAAACACCAAUGAGAACUCCUCGUGAAUUUGGUAUAAUAGAAGAUACUGAAGUGCAUGAAAUUUGAU